GGAGAGGUGUCCGAGCGGCUGAAGGAGCACGGCUGGAAUCCGUGUUGUCGGGGUAACCCGGCACGGGGGUUCGAAUCCCCCCCUCUCCG
This 89-nucleotide transfer RNA is filed under the name Planctomycetota bacterium. RNAcentral's name for it is "Planctomycetes bacterium tRNA-Ser". It matches the Rfam family "tRNA". Rfam says of the family: Transfer RNA (tRNA) molecules are approximately 80 nucleotides in length. The record is from RNAcentral. Lineage: Bacteria; Pseudomonadati; Planctomycetota.